RNAcentral lists this ribosomal RNA (465 nucleotides) under uncultured bacterium. RNAcentral describes it as "partial 16S ribosomal RNA". It matches the Rfam family "Bacterial small subunit ribosomal RNA", at positions 28 to 507 of the family's 1533-position model. The record is from RNAcentral.
GACGAACGCUGGCGGCGUGCUUAACACAUGCAAGUCGAACGGAAAGGCCCUGCUUGCAGGGUACUCGAGUGGCGAACGGGUGAGUAACACGUGGGUGCUCUGCCCUGCACUUCGGGAUAAGCCUGGGAAACUGGGUCUAAUACCGGAUAGGGGCCAUUUUUAGUGUGAUGGUUGGAAAGUUUUUUCGGUGUAGGAUGAUGUCGCGGCCUAUCAGCUUGUUGGUGGGGUAAUGGCCUACCAAGGCGGCGACGGGUAGCCGGCCUGAGAGGGUGGACGGCCACAUCGGGACUGAGCUACGGCCCAGACUGCGGAGGGAUGCAGAAGUGGGGAAUACUGCACAAAGGGCGCAAGCCUGAUGCAACGACGCCGCGGGGGGGAAGACGGCCUUCGGGUUGAAAAAGAAGUUCGCGAGGGACGAAGCGUUGUGUGACGGUACCUAGAGAAGAAGCACCGGCUAACCACGUG